GUACUUGUAGCUCAAAUAUAUAAAGCACCAGCCUUGUAAGCUGAAGACUGGGGGUUCAACUCCCCCCAUGUACA
This 74-nucleotide transfer RNA is filed under the name Ventrifossa garmani (Sagami grenadier). RNAcentral's name for it is "tRNA-Thr". It matches the Rfam family "tRNA". From Rfam's summary of the family: Transfer RNA (tRNA) molecules are approximately 80 nucleotides in length. Lineage: Eukaryota; Metazoa; Chordata; Actinopteri; Gadiformes; Macrouridae. The record is from RNAcentral.